CCUACGGGUGGCAGCAGUGAGGAAUAUUGCACAAUGGGGGAAACCCUGAACCAGCGAAGCCGCGUGAGUGAAGAAGUAUUUCGGUAUGUAAAACUCUGUCAGCAGGGGAGAAAAUGAUUGUACCUGACCAAGAAGCCCCGGCUAACUACGUGCCAGCAGCCGCGGUAAUACGUAGGGGGCCAGCGUUAUCCGGAUUUACUGGGUGUAAAGGGAGCGUAGGCGGCAGGGCAAGUCAGGAGUGAAAUGCGGGGGCUCAACCCCCGGAUUGCCCUUGAAACUGGAAGGCUGGAGUGCAGUAGAGGUAAGUGGAAUUCCUGGUGUAGCGGUGAAAUGCGUAGAUAUUAGGAGGAACACCGGUGGCGAAGGCGGCUUACUGGACUGUAACUGACGUUGAGGCUCGAAAGCGUGGGGAGCAAACAGGAUUAGAUACCCGUGUAGUC
Molecule: ribosomal RNA, 440 nt
Filed under: uncultured bacterium
Lineage: Bacteria
Description: partial 16S ribosomal RNA
Rfam family: Bacterial small subunit ribosomal RNA
Source: RNAcentral